This 58-nucleotide transfer RNA is filed under the name Apaloderma vittatum (bar-tailed trogon). It matches the Rfam family "tRNA", at positions 8 to 63 of the family's 71-position model. Rfam says of the family: Transfer RNA (tRNA) molecules are approximately 80 nucleotides in length. Their secondary structure includes four short double-helical elements and three loops (D, anti-codon, and T loops). Further hydrogen bonds mediate the characteristic L-shaped molecular structure. tRNAs have two regions of fundamental functional importance: the anti-codon, which is responsible for specific mRNA codon recognition, and the 3' end, to which the tRNAs corresponding amino acid is attached (by aminoacyl-tRNA synthetases). tRNAs cope with the degeneracy of the genetic code in two manners: having more than one tRNA (with a specific anti-codon) for a particular amino acid; and 'wobble' base-pairing, i.e. permitting non-standard base-pairing at the 3rd anti-codon position. Lineage: Eukaryota; Metazoa; Chordata; Aves; Trogoniformes; Trogonidae. The record is from Rfam by way of RNAcentral.
UAGCUCAGUCAGUUGAGCGUGGCGCUAACAACGCCAAGGUCGCAGGUUCGAUUCCCGU